CUACAUGCGAUAACUAAUUUUCCACUUUGACAAACGUGUUCAGUAACCUCAGAAGAACCAUGCUAAAGAUUUCGGGGAGAAUGGAAUGAUCGAUUACUCAGGAAGUUCCACAGAGCAUCAAGGAAGCUGCAAUUCUCUUGAAAGGUUCUGCUUUUCUGUGAGCCAAUAGCUGAGGAGAGGUAUCAUCGCAGAGUAUCUUCGCUAAAGGAGGGAGAGAGACAGCGAGAGAGAGGGAUGACUCACUCACACGUACAGGCCCCUCUCCCUUGGUCUCCCUCGGAGCGGUUGAUGACCUCAUAUCUUGUCCGGUAUUGUCGCCGCCCUGUUUGGAUAUUUCUCCCUCCUGAUUGGAUGGCUGAUCGUCAGCGUCCACCCUCACUUCCGGUGCAGGCUCCGCCUCCUGUUGGUGUUGAGCAGCAGGACCGUCUUCAGAAGAGGACGUUCCCUCCGGCCGAUUGCCUCCCUUCUGCUCCCAUGACCUCACUUUCUGCCCAUGCCCGGCCUCUUCCUCAUCUAGCUCCUCUCUCUCUCUCUGAGCU
Salmo salar (Atlantic salmon) is the source of this 539-nucleotide non-coding RNA. The record is from RefSeq and is a predicted model, not a curated record. NCBI's taxonomy places the organism in Eukaryota, Metazoa, Chordata, Actinopteri, Salmoniformes, Salmonidae.